AAGCCAUGCAUGCCCGCUCACCCGGGACGCGGCGGACGGCUCAGGACAACGGUUGCACCCCCCGCGGCGGUCCCUGCUAGCCGGACACCGCUGGCAACCCGGCGCCAAGACGUGCGCGCAAGGGCGGGCGCCCGCGGGCGAGCAGCGUGACGCAGCGACGGCCCGCCCGGGCUUCCGGGGCAUCACCCGGUCGGCGCGGUCGCGG
RNAcentral lists this ribosomal RNA (205 nucleotides) under Giardia duodenalis. Its description in RNAcentral is "Giardia intestinalis partial small subunit ribosomal RNA". Lineage: Eukaryota; Fornicata; Diplomonadida; Hexamitidae. The record is from RNAcentral.